GAAUGACACCAGGGGUGCAAGUGUCAAUACUUGCUGAGAAAGACCCUUACAACCUGUUCAGGAUAAUGCCUGCGAAGGGAGAGUGAAAUGCAAAUAAA
This 98-nucleotide non-coding RNA is filed under the name Caedibacter sp. RNAcentral describes it as "TPP sequence". It matches the Rfam family "TPP riboswitch aptamer (THI element)". From Rfam's summary of the family: Vitamin B(1) in its active form thiamin pyrophosphate (TPP) is an essential coenzyme that is synthesised by coupling of pyrimidine and thiazole moieties in bacteria. The record is from RNAcentral. Lineage: Bacteria; Pseudomonadati; Pseudomonadota; Gammaproteobacteria; Thiotrichales; Fastidiosibacteraceae.